GGCCUAACACAUGCAAGUCGAGCGGUAGCACAGGGAGCUUGCUCCUGGGUGACGAGCGGCGGACGGGUGAGUAAUGUCUGGGAAACUGCCUGAUGGAGGGGGAUAACUACUGGAAACGGUAGCUAAUACCGCAUAACGUCUUCGGACCAAAGAGGGGGACCUUCGGGCCUCUUGCCAUCAGAUGUGCCCAGAUGGGAUUAGCUAGUAGGUGAGGUAAUGGCUCACCUAGGCGACGAUCCCUAGCUGGUCUGAGAGGAUGACCAGCCACACUGGAACUGAGACACGGUCCAGACUCCUACGGGAGGCAGCAGUGGGGAAUAUUGCACAAUGGGCGCAAGCCUGAUGCAGCCAUGCCGCGUGUAUGAAGAAGGCCUUAGGGUUGUAAAGUACUUUCAGCGAGGAGGAAGGCAUUGUGGUUAAUAACCGCAGUGAUUGACGUUACUCGCAGAA
This 450-nucleotide ribosomal RNA is filed under the name uncultured Gammaproteobacteria bacterium. RNAcentral's name for it is "bacterial SSU rRNA". It matches the Rfam family "Bacterial small subunit ribosomal RNA", at positions 45 to 486 of the family's 1533-position model. Lineage: Bacteria; Pseudomonadati; Pseudomonadota; Gammaproteobacteria. The record is from RNAcentral.